Cyanistes caeruleus (blue tit) is the source of this 520-nucleotide non-coding RNA. NCBI's taxonomy places the organism in Eukaryota, Metazoa, Chordata, Aves, Passeriformes, Paridae. The record is from RefSeq and is a predicted model, not a curated record.
UGAAAAUGAUUUGAUCUUAAAACUCUACAGGUCAAGCCCAGGGCAAAGGGGCCCUGAUUUAUUUGGAAAUUGAAUGAAAACAGAGGAUAGGUAUUUAUUAUUUUAAAAAAUAAUUCCAGCUUUCCCAUAAUCCUAGGCACUGAGGCCAUUAUAAAGGAGAAUGAAUUUUGGUGCACAAGUAGCAGACUGUGUUUUGAAAAACUGCUCUCGUGUUAUAUUAAAAGCUUAAAAACUGUUCACCAGAAUUUCUGUCUCCCCCCAACUCACAUUAUAAUUUUCAAACUUAUGAAAGCUACGAGAAACUUCAACCCAAGUUUUGGUGGAAGUGGCAUAAAGGAAGGAAAGAGAGACUGAUACACUGUGUCAUGACAAAACAGGCAGAGUAAGAGUGCCUUUGCAGUCACCUAUCAUCCAUGGACUACGUGCUGCUGGCCCAAAACAUCAGGCUGCCCUGGAAGCUGUGCACCAGUUAUUGGAUCAUUCUUCAGCCCCAGUCACUGGCAUAACCCACGUAAACAGG